ACGCAACCUCUUCCUCUUCUCCGCAUCUUCCUUCACGGGCCAAUGCGGCUGCAGGGGCGAGGGGAUGGGGGCCAGCCGGUUUCUUCGCUGGAUCUGGACUUCUCCUCCUCUUCCUUCGGGCCCUCGCGGCUGCAGGGCGAGAGGAUGGGGGCCAGCCGAUUUCUUCGCCGGAUCUGGAGCAGGGACAAGAGGAGAAGGAAGUUGGCCAUGGAUACAUGAGGAGAGCGGGGAAGGAAGCCAGAGUGGAUCAGUGACGGUUGGAUCCCCGAAGAAAAAAUAACAGUGGGAUACAGGACGAAGAUAAGCGGCGGCGACGGGCGAGGCAGCAGGAGGCGAUGGCGACAAGUAAAUCAGUCGCCUAUGGAUAAAAGAUCAUGUCUGUCGCCAGAGACCUCAUUGGCACAUCUCAAGAGGAUGCUAUUAUCUGCAUCAGCGAGGACGACGGUGAGCUGGCAGCCCACACCAAGCAACCUACACGCUCUGCACAUGUUAUAUGCUAAUAAAUGGUACCCCUACUUCACUAUACAGCAUUCUCCUAUCCAUAUUGGCCCAAGAUUGUAGAAUUAUUUAGCUUCAUAUUUUGCGUCUCAUGAAAGAACACAAUUAGGUUAUGGAAUCAUUUUUUUCCUACUUCUAAAAAGAUUUUGUUUGAUUGGAUGCUAAUAAUAUGUUUCUAAAUAGAAUCUCGUUGUUGUUCAUUAUAUAUGUAGGUUCAUUUAAACAAGAUAAUGGUCAUUUUUCCCUCUCUCUAGAUCCAGGGAAAAUUGUAUAUUCUGUGAAGAACUAUUGAUGCAUAUUUGGCAGCUUUUGAAUCCUAUGAACAACUUGAUGGUUCAAUAUGUUUCAGUUUCGUAUAAUUUCUGCAGAACCCUAUUUAUCAUUCUGACAUUUUAUAUAUAUUAUACUUAUCUUAUACUUAUCCAUGUCAGCAUUUUAGUGGGUUUUGAACAAUUAGAUGAUUUUGCACAAGACUUUGUAUGUGCACACGGGCAUUUCGUAUGCAAGGUGCACAACUUUGUAUUUGUGUGGUAAUAAAGCAAGAGGGUCUGCUCGAUGACGGUGCAGGUGGUGUUCCUUUGUUUGGAGAAUUUAUCUGUGGUGUGAUCUGUUUUCAUUUCUGUUAGGCAAUCCGAUCAGAUCAUACCCUGUCAUAUUUAGCGCUCCUAUAUUUGCAUAUAAAUCGGGCCAUUAACAAUAUCUGAUAAAAGAAACUAUUGUGCUAUCUUUGGUCAGUACAAUAUCUAAUAAAGUUGUGAUUUCGAUCAUGUAUCACUACAGGUUGUUGUUGAGAAGUCUAAAACAUAUAAGGGGAAACCUAAGAAAAAAUUUUGAACCCCAAAGUUAACAAAGCUGAUAAUCUAUUUCUCUCAUUAUAACUAACUUGGCCAUAGAGAAAUAUUUAGGUUCCUAUGUUCUGCUUGCCAUUUGAUCCAUGGCUGGCUAGAUGUUCUGCCACUGUCACUCCAGAGCAGUUCUCCUCCAUGACAAGUUCAGUCUAUCCUAGAUCUGGGUCCUCUCUGGUUCCUUCGACAAUGACCUCAACACCAUCGAAGCCAGGCCGCAGUGUUGAACCUGGGAUGAAUGAUUGUUUCUUAUAGGCUGGUGUUUUCAAAAGCGCAAAGGCACCACAAACUAUGUCAACAAAAAGGCACAGAGAUCCUAGAGACACAUGAAAUAAGAGUACACCUGAUUCAGAUGGCGAGAAUGG
Long non-coding RNA from Triticum dicoccoides, 1708 nucleotides. RefSeq lists it as uncharacterized. The transcript has 3 exons. NCBI's taxonomy places the organism in Eukaryota, Viridiplantae, Streptophyta, Magnoliopsida, Poales, Poaceae. The record is from RefSeq and is a predicted model, not a curated record.